GACGAACGCUGGCGGCGUGCUUAACACAUGCAAGUCGAACGGAAAGGCCCUGCUUUUGUGGGGUGCUCGAGUGGCGCACGGGUGAGUAACACGUGAGUAACCUGCCCUUGACUUUGGGAUAACUUCAGGAAACUGGGGCUAAUACCGGAUAGGAGCUCCUGCUGCAUGGUGGGGGUUGGAAAGUUUCGGCGGUUGGGGAUGGACUCGCGGGUUAUCAGCUUGUUGGUGGGGUAGUGGCUUACCAAGGCUUUGACGGGUAGCCGGCCUGAGAGGGUGACCGGCCACAUUGGGACUGAGAUACGGCCCAGACUCCUACGGGAGGCAGCAGUGGGGAAUAUUGCACAAUGGGCGGAAGCCUGAUGCAGCAACGCCGCGUGCGGGAUGACGGCCUUCGGGUUGUAAACCGCUUUCGCCUGUGACGAAGCGUGAGUGACGGUAAUGGGUAAAGAAGCACCGGCUAACUACGUG
This 468-nucleotide ribosomal RNA is filed under the name uncultured bacterium. Its description in RNAcentral is "partial 16S ribosomal RNA". It matches the Rfam family "Bacterial small subunit ribosomal RNA", at positions 28 to 507 of the family's 1533-position model. The record is from RNAcentral.